UACGUAGGGGGCAAGCGUUGUCCGGAAUCAUUGGGCGUAAAGCGCGUGUAGGCGGCUCGAUAAGUCUGCUGUGAAAGUCCAGGGCUCAACCCUGGGAUGCCGGUGGAUACUGUCGAGCUCGAGUCCGGAAGAGGCGAGUGGAAUUCCUGGUGUAGCGGUGAAAUGCGCAGAUAUCAGGAGGAACACCAAUGGCGAAGGCAGCUCGCUGGGACGUGACUGGACGCUGGAGACGCGAAAGCGUGGGGAGCAAACAGG
This 255-nucleotide ribosomal RNA is filed under the name uncultured bacterium. RNAcentral describes it as "partial 16S ribosomal RNA". It matches the Rfam family "Bacterial small subunit ribosomal RNA", at positions 524 to 776 of the family's 1533-position model. The record is from RNAcentral.